Molecule: long non-coding RNA, 976 nt
Organism: Myotis davidii
Lineage: Eukaryota; Metazoa; Chordata; Mammalia; Chiroptera; Vespertilionidae
Exons: 3
Source: RefSeq, a predicted model, not a curated record
GCUACAGGGCGGCCAUGGAAGCCACGGCCAAUGGGCUGUGAGCUCAGGCCCCGGCGGUUCCUUGAAGACCAGGCGCCGGGCACUCGCCCGUCGCACGCCUUCCCGGGGUUACACCGCUCUAGAUGGCCCCGCCCCACCCAUCGUCUCGGCCAAUGGGAGCGCGCUCCGAGGGAGUGGGCGGAGCUCCAGGGUGCGGGCUGCACCUGGAGCGCGCCGCACGUGAGUCCGCCCGCCCGGCCUCCCUGCUCACCCCCGUGCGGGUCCGCGCCGCUUUUCGACACAGCGCGAGCCCAGGAAGUCUGUCCGUCCUUGGUGGCAACCUGGAGAGACAAGGUGAGCUCACCCCGGAGGGACGGCAGGUGGGAAAGGGGACCGAGAACAGAACCCGAAGGAGAGGGGCGUGGCGAGCGGCCUGGCUUAGCAGUCCACGUGUUCCUCUUGAAGCAGAACCAAGGCAGUCCGGGGCAGCUGGCCCCUCCUGCAGCCCCCAGCUCAGGGUUCCGUGCUCAGCUCCAGCCCUGUGGAACGGGAACUUGCCUGCCUUCUUCCCAUGUCAGCCUAAAGCUCCAGGAGAAUGGAGCCAGGACUUUUCACCUAGACCACGUCCGCAUACAAGGAACCGGGCAGAGCCCACCAGAAGCACCCGGGUGCUUGCCGCAGUAAAUCCAACCUGAGGCUGGGCUGAAACAGAACUGACUCCCGUGUCCAUGGAAGCCCUUCCCUCCCCGUGGGGGCUCCGGCUGCUCGUGGGAACUCGCUGCCCCUUGGCCCCCUCUCAGCAAACAAGGACUUGCGGAGGCGAUUUGAUUCCCCCAAACAUGAGGACCUCACGGGAUGACGUGACGGGCCUGGGAAGGAAGACUUAAGGGCAAACUCCAAGUAUCAUCGACGCUGAGCAUCGAAGGAGUUUUGCCUCAUUGUCCCUGCAUGUACCUGUCUGCGUCUGAGGCAGUCCUGAGAGUGGAAGCACCCCGUU